This 110-nucleotide small nucleolar RNA is filed under the name Castor canadensis (American beaver). Its description in RNAcentral is "Small nucleolar RNA SNORA51 (ENSCCNG00000000637.1)". It matches the Rfam family "Small nucleolar RNA SNORA51". Rfam says of the family: ACA51 is a member of the H/ACA class of snoRNA that guide the sites of modification of uridines to pseudouridines. Lineage: Eukaryota; Metazoa; Chordata; Mammalia; Rodentia; Castoridae. The record is from Rfam by way of RNAcentral.
AGCCUCCCGGUGCUUACCACAGGCUGUGUUCUGACAUUGACUGUAUAUUAAGAGGAGGCAAAGUAAACCGCAGGCCCUGUGUGUGGUCUGUAUUGUGAAUGGAGACAUGG